AGCGUUGUUCGGAAUUACUGGGCGUAAAGCGCACGUAGGCGGAUACUUAAGUUAGGGGUGAAAUCCCAGGGCUCAACCCUGGAACUGCCUCUAAUACUGGGUAUCUCGAGUCCGAGAGAGGUGAGUGGAAUUCCGAGUGUAG
This 142-nucleotide ribosomal RNA is filed under the name uncultured Alphaproteobacteria bacterium. Its description in RNAcentral is "partial 16S ribosomal RNA". It matches the Rfam family "Bacterial small subunit ribosomal RNA", at positions 537 to 678 of the family's 1533-position model. Lineage: Bacteria; Pseudomonadati; Pseudomonadota; Alphaproteobacteria. The record is from RNAcentral.